UUGACGGGACCCGCACAAGCGGUGGAUGAUGUGGUUUAAUUCGAUGCAACGCGAAAACCUUACCACCUUUGACAUGUACGGAACCCUUUAGAGAUAGAGGGGUGCUCGAAAGAGAGCCGUAACACAGGUGCUGCAUGGCUGUCGUCAGCUCGUGUCGUGAGAUGUUGGGUUAAGUCCCGCAACGAGCGCAACCCUUGUCAUUAGUUGCUACAUUCAGUUGGGCACUCUAAUGAGACUGCCGGUGACAAGCCGGAGGAAGGUGGGGAUGACGUCAAGUCCUCAUGGCCCUUAUAGGUGGGGCUACACACGUCAUACAAUGGCUGGUACAAAGGGUUGCCAACCCGCGAGGGGGAGCCAAUCCCAUAAAGCCAGUCGUAGUCCGGAUCGUAGUCUGCAACUCGACUACGUGAAGUCGGAAUCGCUAGUAAUCGUGGAUCAGAAUGUCACGGUGAAUACGUUCCCGGGUCUU
Molecule: ribosomal RNA, 469 nt
Filed under: uncultured Rhodoferax sp.
Lineage: Bacteria; Pseudomonadati; Pseudomonadota; Betaproteobacteria; Burkholderiales; Comamonadaceae
Description: bacterial SSU rRNA
Rfam family: Bacterial small subunit ribosomal RNA
Source: RNAcentral